RNAcentral lists this ribosomal RNA (216 nucleotides) under uncultured Glomus. RNAcentral's name for it is "partial small subunit ribosomal RNA". The stretch from base 38 to 216 matches the Rfam family "Eukaryotic small subunit ribosomal RNA", at positions 684 to 864 of the family's 1831-position model. Lineage: Eukaryota; Fungi; Glomeromycota; Glomeromycetes; Glomerales; Glomeraceae. The record is from RNAcentral.
AGAUCAGUACGCUGGUCGUGCCUUCGGUAUGCACUGGUGUCACUGAUUUCUCCCUUCUGAAGAACCGUAAUGCCAUUCAGUUGGUGUGGCGGGGAAUCAGGAUUGUUACUUUGAAAAAAUUAGAGUGUUUAAAGCAGGCUCGCGCUUGAAUACAUUAGCAUGGAAUAAUGAAAUAGGACGUUUGAUCCUAUUUUGUUGGUUUCUAGGAUCGACGUA